AUGAACCUUUGAGGGGUUGAGCUGGCGUUUAUUCGCAUGUGCUUGCCCUCUCAUCCUUUAUACACCUGUGCACUUUUUGAAGGGAGACAUUAGUAGACAUUCACUUGUCGAAGGUAUCUCCCUUUACACUACAUACUCUAAUGAUUACUUUGAAUGUUUAAACGCUUAACAGCAUUUAAUUA
Molecule: unclassified non-coding RNA, 182 nt
Filed under: soil metagenome
Description: partial internal transcribed spacer 1
Source: RNAcentral